This 484-nucleotide ribosomal RNA is filed under the name uncultured bacterium. RNAcentral's name for it is "partial 16S ribosomal RNA". It matches the Rfam family "Bacterial small subunit ribosomal RNA", at positions 30 to 507 of the family's 1533-position model. The record is from RNAcentral.
AUUGAACGCUGGCGGCAGGCCUAACACAUGCCAGUCGAGCGGAUGAAGGGAGCUUGCUCCUGGAUUCAGCGGCGGACGGGUGAGUAAUGCCUAGGAAUCUGCCUGGUAGUGGGGGAUAACGUCCGGAAACGGGCGCUAAUACCGCAUACGUCCUGAGGGAGAAAGUGGGGGAUCUUCGGACCUCACGCUAUCAGAUGAGCCUAGGUCGGAUUAGCUAGUUGGUGGGGUAAAGGCCUACCAAGGCGACGAUCCGUAACUGGUCUGAGAGGAUGAUCAGUCACACUGGAACUGGGACACGGUCCAGACUCCUACGGGAGGCAGCAGUGGGGAAUAUUAGACAAUGGGCGAAAGCCUGAUCCAGCCAUGCCGCGUGUGUGAAGAAGGUCUUCGGAUUGUAAAGCACUUUAAGUUGGGAGGAAGGGCAGUAAGUUAAUACCUUGCUGUUUUGACGUUACCAACAGAAUAAGCACCGGCUAACUUCGUG